Non-coding RNA from Cinara cedri, 538 nucleotides. NCBI's taxonomy places the organism in Eukaryota, Metazoa, Arthropoda, Insecta, Hemiptera, Aphididae. The record is from the annotation of a GenBank genome assembly.
GGCGGUAGAAGAGACGUCGGUGUCGUCGUCGAGGCGAGCGCGCCGUGACGUCACGCGCGCCGAGCGAAUUCGCGAGUAAUUUAUAAAUAUUUCGCGCGGACCGCUCGAAUUACCGUUUCGAACACGCUCAUCGUCCGUCGAUACGGCGCGCGUUGCUCGCACUUCCAACCACCGUUUGUCACGGGCCGCGUCGAACGUGAGCGCCUCUGCAGAAAAAAAAAAAAAACAACUUAAUAACGAAACGGAAAUAUUUUUAUUUCGUUUCAAUUAUACGGGCUGGGCCCUUUUGGACGUGCAACGCCUAGACACGUGAGAUAACAGAAGUCAUUACAGAAAAUGAAUUGUUACAAACAUAAAACUAUAAUAAGUCAUAAUAAGGGGAAUUACACAUAAUUAGGCCAAUAAGUCAUUAACGGCAGAAUCAACAUUGACAGUUGGACAUUAGACGUCUUAGAGGCUCAUUAGCCGCGUAGUUGGCGGCGGCGUGCGGGACAUAGAAGAUGGCAGUGGAGCGAGAUGAACGAGUAGGAACUUUGAG